Molecule: long non-coding RNA, 898 nt
Filed under: Cucumis sativus (cucumber)
Lineage: Eukaryota; Viridiplantae; Streptophyta; Magnoliopsida; Cucurbitales; Cucurbitaceae
Description: long non-coding RNA (CSAT_LNC000710)
Source: RNAcentral
CUUUUUUUCAAUUUUUUUGGUUUAAGUAAGUUGAAUGCUUUGUUUCUCACUCUUCUCGAUGAAUUUUGAAGGUGGAAAGCUUUAGACUUUGCCGCUCUCAAGGUAAGCUCGGUGUCAUUCUUCGACGAUGAAAAGACAGAAACCGCUACCUCCCGUUGGUCCCGGGCUAGGACGAGAGCUGCAAAGGUAAAUUCUUGGUAUUAGUAUGCUUCAUUAGUUGUGGUUUAGAACAAUAAUGAUGUUCUCUAACUUGUUCAGCUUGGGAAAGGUUUAUCAAAGGAUGAGAAUGCUCAAAAAUUAGCUCUUCAACACUGGCUUGAAGCAGUAAGUUCAUAUAGUUCAAACUUUUAGAGGUUAGAGAAGAGGAUGUUGACCGUUUUAUUGAACUUCUUUUGGCCAGAUUGAUCCCCGCCACCGCUAUGGACAUAACUUGCAUUUUUACUAUGAUGUUUGGUUUGAUAGCAAGAGCACACAACCUUUCUUCUACUGGUAAUUUCCCCAAUCACAUUGCUGGUAUCAUUACACCGAAAGCUUUCAUUCUUAUCCUUCAAGCUUCCUUUUAAAAGGUUGGAUAUUGGUGAUGGGAAGAGGGUUAAUCUUGAGAAGUGCCGUAGAUCAGUUCUGUAUAAGCAAUGCAUCAAGUACCUUGGACCGGUAAGUCGCCUGAUUAGAUUGUAGUUUCUACUCCAUUACGAGCAGUAAGCAAUUGUUUCUAUUCAUUUCUGUUGCAGAAAGAAAGGGAGGAGUACCUGGUGAUUGUGGAGAAUGGGAGGCUUGUUUACAAGCAAAGCAGAAUACCCAUCACCACAGUUGAAGAUUCCAAGUGGAUUUUUGUACUCAGCACGUCAAGAGAUCUGUAUGUGGGACAGAAGAAGAAAGGUCGCUUUCAACACUCCAG